Molecule: long non-coding RNA, 882 nt
Organism: Cannabis sativa
Lineage: Eukaryota; Viridiplantae; Streptophyta; Magnoliopsida; Rosales; Cannabaceae
Exons: 3
Source: RefSeq, a predicted model, not a curated record
UCUCAAAAACGCUUUUUUUUGGGGCCCGUCGCUAAAAAAUUUAUGUAAGUGUUAAAAACCGUCGCCUAUAAUUUAUUAUAGGCGACGGUUUUUAACACUCGUAUAAAUUAGGCGACGGUUUGUAAAUGUAGAGAAAAAAUUUGAAAAAAAAAAUAAUACACUAUUCGCGACAGUUUAGAACUGUUGGGCAAACCGCGAUCAGUACUUUGCCCGACGGUUCAAAACCGUCGGGGAAGGGGAAGCCCCUUUAUAAUAAAACUCUCAUCUCUCAUCAAUACAAAUUCAUAUCACGCUCACCCUCUCUCUCACGCCCCAAACCCUCUCGUUCUUCGCCUCCAGCCACCGUUUCAGAUCGUUGUUCAUCAUCGACGAGCCCCAAACCCUCUCAUUCUUCGCCCCGCGAGCAGCAAGUUUCUCUCCGGCUAGUUCCAGUCCCAAACUUUCGUUGUUCGGUCGAGAUUGAAGGCCUCGUACAAGAUCAGAACAACCCAUAUCCCAUCGGGUUCAGAGGCCUACUCUGCUCCUUCCUUCUAGGGUAAGAGCAAUCUGUAUUCAAUCAACGAGAUGAAUCUUCCGCGUGAUCAGUGGAUUAAAUACGUCCGAGCACAGGCAAGGCGACAAGGGCUAUUAUGAUGAUUAGUGUUUAGUUUUUUGUUUAUACUUUACACUAUAACCAGCUACAAUCAUAUAACUAAAGAUUAAUUAAUAUUUUUACUUUAUGUUUGAGUAAGUAGUUUGUAUAUAUUUUAAUUUUUGUUCAUUUUCAAUUUAUGUUUAUACUUUAUUUUAACUAAUUUGUGACAAUGUAUAAAUUAGUAAAAAUUAAUUAAUGCAGGAGAAAAAAGUAGAAUUUUUUUUUAUUUUUUUCCCUUUUUUUUUGCA